ACCCCUUCCGACGUCUGGCUGGCUGUGUGUGUCCGAAGAACCGAAAUGAAUGGCUCAAUGAUGCCGUCUUCAUCGUUGCCGUUGUCUACCUUCUUAUCCGUUCGACAUUCACAUGUCUUCAUAAUUUUAUAGCGUAAUGGUUUUUCUUUAUCACUAUCUUCAAAUAAUUAGCUACAGUUU
Small nucleolar RNA from Caenorhabditis elegans, 180 nucleotides. NCBI's taxonomy places the organism in Eukaryota, Metazoa, Nematoda, Chromadorea, Rhabditida, Rhabditidae. The record is from Ensembl.